AUUGUUCUAUAACCANGAUNUNUUCUUGCUACACAUGCGCGACUAUCAUGUAUCAUAUUUCCCGGAUUGUAACGGUGGUCGAUACUUUUAUGCAUGUAAUAAAUGUACACCAUGGCGAGCUAUGAUGAACAUCGAGUCGUUACUUGAUCAUCACAGAGCCAGACAUUUUAAGCGCACUAAGUUUUGCUACAUAUGCGGUAAAAUCGUAAAAAGUCACCUAAGGAAUCAUUUGAAUAACCAUUUUAUCAGUAAAUGGCGCAUAUGUCGACGAGAAACUUGUAACGAACCAUGUCUUACAUUGAUCGAUCUCAGGGAGCAUGUAAGAGCGAAUCAUCCCACAAUAUUAGUAUGUGAUAGAUGUUUUACGAUUCGCGCAUGGUAUGAAACACAGGAAUUACUUCAAGACCAUAUUCGAGUAGUACAUGCUAAUCAAUUAGAAUUAUCGUAAAUACAGUCAACUAUAUAUAUGCAUGCUUAUCUAUAUGUACAAACGGAUCAGAUUUUAAUUGCCAAUAUGACUUAAGAUAUCACGUAAUACAAUUUAUAGAUCUUUCUGUACAUAAUAAGUGUGUUUUACGAUAUUUGAUAUGUAAAUAAGAUAAAAGUGGAGAAAGUGACAUUAUUAAUGUACAGUAUCUUUGAUAAGUAUACAUUUGUGUUGGAAUCGGUAGAUAUAAAUGGUGGAGAAAAAUAAUCUUUUCUGCAAAAUUAAACAUAUAAAAUAAAGUGUUGUAUGUAACUUAUAGUUUU
Pseudomyrmex gracilis is the source of this 750-nucleotide long non-coding RNA. RefSeq lists it as uncharacterized. Lineage: Eukaryota; Metazoa; Arthropoda; Insecta; Hymenoptera; Formicidae. The transcript has 3 exons. The record is from RefSeq and is a predicted model, not a curated record.